CCUACGGGAGGCUGCAGUGGGGAAUUUUGGACAAUGGGCGCAAGCCUGAUCCAGCUAUUCCGCGUGUGGGAAGACGGCCUUCGGGUUGUAAACCACUUUUGUAGAGAACGAAAAGUCUAUUGAUAAUACCGAUAGAUGAUGACGGUACUCUAAGAAUCAGCACCGGCUAACUACGUGCCAGCAGCCGCGGUAAUACGUAGGGUGCGAGCGUUAAUCGGAAUUACUGGGCGUAAAGGGUGUGCAGGCGGUUUUGCAAGAUGGAUGUGAAAGCCCCGGGCUUAACCUGGGAAAGCCAUACAUGACUGCAAGACUAGAGUGCGUCAGAGGGGGGUGGAAGUCCAAGUGUAGCAGUGAAAUGCGUAGAUAUUUGGAAGAACACCGAUGGCGAAGGCAGCCCCCUGGGACGCAACUGACGCUCAUACACGAAAGCGUGGGGAGCAAACAGGAUUAGAUACCCCAGUAGUC
Molecule: ribosomal RNA, 465 nt
Filed under: uncultured bacterium
Lineage: Bacteria
Description: partial 16S ribosomal RNA
Rfam family: Bacterial small subunit ribosomal RNA
Source: RNAcentral